Molecule: small nucleolar RNA, 84 nt
Organism: Mustela erminea (ermine)
Lineage: Eukaryota; Metazoa; Chordata; Mammalia; Carnivora; Mustelidae
Source: RefSeq, a predicted model, not a curated record
GAGUCUGCCUUCGACUGGGCUCCUAUCACCCCUGAGGAUGCAGUGCCCCCCAGGACCUUUGACACCUGGGGAUCUGAGAGGCCC